CUCGGGUACCUAACUUGUCUCCCUUGAACUAAAUGUCAGCUGUCAAUAUGUUUGAGAGAAACAACUCACAAUGCGUUUAAUGCAUUCAGUUGUCCUUUCAAAAUACAGAUAAAAACGCGAAAUGACAAUGAUCAAAGUUUGGUGGCGUGAGCAUUUGUAAAUCAGCAAUGGCACUUGACAGCUUUCACAGUCUUGUUCAUCUAGACUUGAAAGGAGCACCACCAAAGUUGGAGUAUUUAGAAAAGGUUUUUCCUCUACUGACAAAAUGGGGAGCCACUGGCUUGCUGGUUGAAUAUGAAGACAUGUUCCCAUACCACAGCGAGCUCAGCAGCUUGAGGUCCCAGUCUGCAUACAGCUCAAAUGAGAUUAAUACAUUAGUGAGAUUGGCAUCCCAAAAUGGAUUGAUUGUCAUACCUCUUGUGCAGUCAUUUGGCCAUUUGGAGUUUGUGUUGAAGCACACAGAAUACAAAACUUUGAGAGAAAUGGCAGACUCCCCAAUGGCAUUGUGUCCCUCAAAGCCAGGUGAAGACAAGUUUUUGACAGAUAGUUUGAGAAAUACAGAAGGACAAUCAAAUCUGUUCCAUGAAAAGUCCUUGAAGAUUGUAUGUAGCAUGAUAGACCAAGUGAUUGCUGCUCAUCCAGGAAUUCAGUGGUUCCAUAUAGGCUGUGAUGAGGUGUAUCACCUGGGAAUCUGUGAGCAGUGCAGGAAACGAAUGACAGAAGAAAGUCUGACACCCCAUGAGUUAUUCUUUCAACAUGUAAAGAAUGUAGCUUUUCAUGUCAGAAACCACCAUCAAGGUGUCAUACCAAUCAUUUGGGAUGACAUGUUCAGGUUUGCUGAAGUCUCCAUUCUUGCAGUAAGUGGCCUAGGUGAGCUGGUGGUGCCCAUGGUAUGGCACUACCUGGCUAGUUUCAAUUUGCCUCCAGACUUGUGGCAGAAACUUUCCAGCAUAUUUUCCAGUGUAUGGGUGGCAAGUGCCUUUAAAGGUGCUACAGGACCUCGAGCAUGUGCAACCAAUAUAAAUUAUCACCUUGAAAAUCACCUUAACUGGAUUGCUGCGCUGAAUGAAAUGAAGUGUCUCUUUAAGAACAUUCAUGGCAUUGCUAUCACAGGGUGGCAGAGGUAUGACCACUAUGCUGUACUUUGUGAACUUUUGCCACAUGGUCUUCCAAGUUUGGCAAUGUGCCUGCAGACCAUUCGUAAAGGAUUGACAUCAGAGGUCCAUGAGACUGUAACUGCUGACCUAGGAUUUACUUCUUUGUUGCCUCUUAAUCCAUUUGGGUGUGGAGAAAUUCCAACCUGCAGUUUUCCUGGGUCAUCUGUUUAUCAACUGAUGAUUGAAUUUGUCUACUUGGAAGCAGAGUGUCGAAAGUUCAUAUGCAAUGAUGGGUGUCUGACAUGGAUGAAUGAUUACAAUGUGAGGAGGAAUUUCACAAACCCAGUGCAUAUCAAACCUAUACUUUCUACUGCUGGCGUGUGAGUGGUGCAGCACUGUACCCACCUAGGGAAAGCAGUGUAGAUAAGUCACUAUUUGGAAACCAAAAUCAUUAAAGGUUCCAGAUACCAUAAUGCUAGCACAACUAGAAGAGUUCCAAAAGAAGCUCAGUACAGCCCUUCAAGACAUUUUCUACCCAAACACAGUAGAAGAAUGGCAAGGAACAUAUUUAGCACCUCUGAUGGCAGAUGUUCAAAAGCUAGUAGAUGCAG
This 1708-nucleotide unclassified non-coding RNA is filed under the name Pomacea canaliculata. RNAcentral's name for it is "hexosaminidase D-like, transcript variant X3". Lineage: Eukaryota; Metazoa; Mollusca; Gastropoda; Architaenioglossa; Ampullariidae. The record is from RNAcentral.